RNAcentral lists this ribosomal RNA (551 nucleotides) under uncultured Glomeromycotina. RNAcentral's name for it is "SSU rRNA". It matches the Rfam family "Eukaryotic small subunit ribosomal RNA", at positions 548 to 1098 of the family's 1831-position model. The record is from RNAcentral. Lineage: Eukaryota; Fungi; Glomeromycota.
UUGGAGGGCAAGUCUGGUGCCAGCAGCCGCGGUAAUUCCAGCUCCAAUAGCGUAUAUUAAAGUUGUUGCAGUUAAAAAGCUCGUAGUUGAACUUCGGGGUUUACCCAUUGGUCAGGCUUAAUUGUCUGUACUGGUGAGAUAAAUCUCUACCUUCUGAGGAACUUUCAUGCCAUUUAGUUGGUGUGAUAGGAAAUCAGGACUGUUACUUUGAAAAAAUUAGAGUGUUUAAAGCAGGCUAACGUUUGAAUACAUUAGCAUGGAAUAAUGAAAUAGGACGGAUUGGUUCUAUUUCGUUGGUUUCUAGGAUCACCGUAAUGAUUAAUAGGGAUAGUUGGGGGCAUUAGUAUUCAAUUGUCAGAGGUGAAAUUCUUGGAUUUAUUGAAGACUAACUAUUGCGAAAGCAUUUGCCAAGGAUGUUUUCAUAGAUCAAGAACGAAAGUUAGGGGACCGAAGACGAUCAGAUACCGUCGUAGUCUUAACCAUAAACUAUGCCGACUAGGGAUCGGACGAAGUUAAUUUUAUAAUGACGCGUUCGGCGCCUUACGGGAAAC